AUCCAGAUGACGAGUCUCAAACAGGUCAAAACGUGCGUCUUGUAU
RNAcentral lists this non-coding RNA (45 nucleotides) under Schistosoma curassoni. Lineage: Eukaryota; Metazoa; Platyhelminthes; Trematoda; Strigeidida; Schistosomatidae. The record is from RNAcentral.